AACGAACGCUGGCGGCAUGCCUAACACAUGCAAGUCGAACGAUCCCUUCGGGGAUAGUGGCGCACGGGUGCGUAACGCGUGGGAAUCUGCCCUCAGGUACGGAAUAACUCAGGGAAACUUGAGCUAAUACCGUAUAAUGACUUCGGUCCAAAGAUUUAUCGCCUGGGGAUGAGCCCGCGUCGGAUUAGCUAGUUGGUGAGGUAAAAGCUCACCAAGGCGACGAUCCGUAGCUGGUCUGAGAGGAUGAUCAGCCACACUGGGACUGAGACACGGCCCAGAUUCCUACGGGAGGCAGCAGUGGGGAAUAUUGGACAAUGGGCGCAAGCCUGAUCCAGCAAUGCCGCGUGAGUGAUGAAGGCCUUAGGGUUGUAAAGCUCUUUUACCCGGGAAGAUAAUGACUGUACCGGGAGAAUAAGCCCCGGCUAACUCCGUGCCAGCAGCCGCGGUAAUACGGAGGGGGCUAGCGUUGUUCGGAAUUACUGGGCGUAAAGCGCACGUA
This 499-nucleotide ribosomal RNA is filed under the name uncultured bacterium. RNAcentral describes it as "bacterial SSU rRNA". It matches the Rfam family "Bacterial small subunit ribosomal RNA", at positions 28 to 573 of the family's 1533-position model. The record is from RNAcentral.